This 69-nucleotide non-coding RNA is filed under the name Streptomyces toyocaensis. Lineage: Bacteria; Bacillati; Actinomycetota; Actinomycetes; Kitasatosporales; Streptomycetaceae. The record is from RNAcentral.
AGCACCCGUGUGGGCUCAUGGGCCCCGACGAGACGCGCCGUACCGGGGUGAAGGCAAAGACGACGCACC